GUCAGGAUGGCCGAGCGGUCCGAGGCGCCGUUCAGGUCGCAGUUUCCACUGGAGGCGUGGGUUCGAAUCCCACUUCUGACA
This 81-nucleotide transfer RNA is filed under the name Perca fluviatilis (European perch). It matches the Rfam family "tRNA". From Rfam's summary of the family: Transfer RNA (tRNA) molecules are approximately 80 nucleotides in length. Their secondary structure includes four short double-helical elements and three loops (D, anti-codon, and T loops). Lineage: Eukaryota; Metazoa; Chordata; Actinopteri; Perciformes; Percidae. The record is from Rfam by way of RNAcentral.